CGUAGGGUGCGAGCGUUAAUCGGAAUUACUGGGCGUAAAGUGUGCGCAGGCGGCCGAGCAAGUCGAGUGUGAAAGCCCCCGAGCUUAACUUGGGAACUGCGCUCGAAACUACUUGGCUAGAGUGUGGCAGAGGGAGGUGGAAUUCCACGUGUAGCGGUGAAAUGCGUAGAGAUGUGGAGGACACCGAUGGCGAAGGCAGCCUCCUGGGCCAACACUGACGCUCAUGCACGAAAGCGUGGGGAGCAAACAGGAUUAGAUACCCUGGUAGUCCACGCCCUAAACGAUGAUGACUAGUUGUUGGAGGAGUUAAAUCCUUUAGUAACGCAGCUAACGCGUGAAGUCAUCCGCCUGGGGAGUACGGUCGCAAGAUUA
RNAcentral lists this ribosomal RNA (372 nucleotides) under uncultured organism. RNAcentral describes it as "bacterial SSU rRNA". It matches the Rfam family "Bacterial small subunit ribosomal RNA", at positions 526 to 896 of the family's 1533-position model. The record is from RNAcentral.